GACGAACGCUGGCGGCGUGCCUAAUACAUGCAAGUCGAACGCAGUGGGGACGGGUGAGUAACACGUGGGUAAUCUCCCAUCAGAGGGGAUAACACUUAGCAACAGGUGCUAAACCGAUCCUGAUGGCUGGACCCACGGUGCAUUAGCUAGUUGGUGAGGUAACGGCUCACCCCGGCCACGAUGCAUAGCGGGCCUGAGAGGGUGAUCUGCCACACGUGGACGGAGAAACGGCCCAGACUACUACGGAAGGCAGCAGUAGGGAAGAUUGGGCAAUGGACGAAAGACUGACCGAGCCACGCCGCGUGAGUGAAGAAGGUCUUCGGAUCGUAAAACACUGUUAGUAGAGAAGCGGUACCUAACCAGAAAGCAACGGCUAACUACGUGCCAGCCGCCGCGGUAAUAC
This 403-nucleotide ribosomal RNA is filed under the name uncultured bacterium. RNAcentral's name for it is "partial 16S ribosomal RNA". It matches the Rfam family "Bacterial small subunit ribosomal RNA", at positions 28 to 526 of the family's 1533-position model. The record is from RNAcentral.